UGGGUUUUGCUAUUUGCAUUUAGCGUCAAGAUCCCCUGCUGUGAAUUCAACUGCACGCGGACAUAUGAAGCUUAUCAUCACCUUCAGCAGGAACGGUUGAGUCCUCUGGAGCGAGCUCAUCUGCCGGAGAAUCUGCAUAUGAGAUAAAAGUUCCAUCUGAUGAAGUUGAAAAAGGCGAAUCAACCUGUUCCACACCAGAGCCAGAGCCGCUGCGUCUGCUCUCCAAUCCGAGCACGGUUCGCAGCCGCCGGCUUUCUCCAGAGGACCGCUCAUGAUGCGUCUCCACCACGAACGACGGAACGCGUGUGAAUAAUCCGCUGGAGAUUGCGGGAGAAUCCAGCUCCAGAAGCCGAAGGUCUGUUCGGAUGGUGAGGAGCGAGCGGGCGGUCGAGCAUCCAUGCGCCUCGGCGGACUGUUGCGAAAGACGUGGACUGUGAUCACGGCAUUUGAAUUUGGAGACCGAAGCUGCGGAUCCGCGGAGACGUCAGGGUGACCCCGUUUUGCCCAAACAGAAUGGCAAGGAUGUAAUACUGACAGGCGGCAAUAAAGGACUCGGCUAUGAGACGGUCAGACAGCUGACGAAUCUGGGAGUUUAUGUCAUAAUAGCCUCACAUGAUGAAGCGGAGGGUCUGGCCGCUGUGAAGAAGAUUUGUGAGGAGGACAGUGAAGCUCAGCUGAACUGAUGAUGUUACAGUCACCAAGACCAUCACCACACGUGCAAACCAAAAGCCGUGGCUGACAGCAGAGGUUCAUGGCCUGCUAAAGACCAGAGAUGAAGCAUUCAGAUCAGGAGACAAAGCAGCCCUCAAAACAGCAAGAGCCAAUCUGUCCUGUGGCAUCAAAAAUGCAAAACGGUCAUAUGCUCAAAAAAUCAACAAUCACUUCACAGACAGCAGAGACACACGGAGCCUGUGGCAAGCCAUUCAGACCAUCACAGACUACAAGCCCCCGCCACAGGCCUGUGAUGACGACACAUCCCUCCCGGAUGCACUCAACCACUUUUAUUCACGGUUUGAAAUGCAGAAUGACACACCUGCACAAAAACUGCCCAUACCUCCCAACGACCAGGUGCUCUGUCUGUCUCCAGCCGACGUAAGGAAGACCCUAUCUAGGAUUAACCCACGCAAGGCUGCUGGACCUGACGACAUACCUGGCCAUGUACUGAAAGACUGUGCUGCACAGCUGACAGAAGUCCUAACAGAUAUCUUCAACACCUCGCUGAGCCAGACAGUCGUCCCCACGUGUCUCAAAUCCACAACCGGUACCAAAAAAAUCACCUGUGUCCUGUCUAAACGACUACCGUCCCAUAGCGCUGCCUCCAAUCGUGAUGAAGUGCUUUGAGAGACUCCAGCUGAAGGUGCGGCUGCUGUUUCUCUGGAUCUGGAAGGAGUUGGUGGAUGUUGGGUGUGUGAAGGUCAGCAGGUCCAGUCCUCAGCAGCGUCUUACGAUGAAGAUCUUCAUGCUGGACUCUGGAGAAACACCUGCGAUCUGCUGGGCCUCCAGGACUCACGCUUUGUUUAACAGAGUUCCUUCACGUUUGUAAACCGGACUAACAUCAGCGGAACUGAAGGUGGACGUCGAUCAGAUGCAGCGCAAAUGAACGAUUGACAAUCUCAUACCGGAGAACUGUGACCGACGGAGGAAAUCGAUGAAGAGUCAUGUAGCUCCUCUGUCCUAUUAUCUCUGGUUCUUCUGAAGGGCUCGGCGCUGUUGAAGGAUCUUCCCUCACUGUGAGUGUUUCUGUCAUGUGACCUUCCAGACGGUACAAAAAAAAGCUUCUUUCCACCAAAAUUUCCUGCAAAGUGCUGCUGUAGUUCAUUCUCUUCACACAAACCUCUGCUGCGUUUGCUCGAGCUCCCGCUCUCUAUUAUUAACCAAUAACAAACACUCAUUUUACCUUCUUGAAAGUCAACAUGACGGACUCAUUUACAUAUAAACAUGCUCUUAUUGUGAAUGAUUCAUCAGUGCACGUUAUUUCAAGUAAAUAAUGUCUGUCUUUGUAAUUGUUCAGCUCCAGCUAACAUAGAACGUUCCCAUAACAUUUUUUAAAGGUUAUGCAAAUGUCAUGACAGACAUUAAUAAAAUAAUGUUUAUGGAACGUCCUGAUAAUGUUUUUAAUAUUUGUUCUCAUAAUGUUGAGAGAAGUCUUCAGAACUUCAUGUUCAAUAACAUUCAUCAGUAACAACAACCGAAGAUUUCAUAGUGUUUUCAAAAUGAUAACAUGGACUGUUCCUCUAACGUUUGCAUAACCAAGAAAUGUUCUUAAUACAUAAACAAACAAACAAACUGGAUGUUUUGAACGUUUAUAAACAUUCAGAAGUAGUUUUCAUAACAGUUUCAAAAUGAUCAAAUGGAAUGUUUCUCUAACAUUUGCAAACCCAAGAAAAAAAGUCCUUUAACUAUAAAAAAAGAGAACAUUUAAAGGGGUCAUAGGAUGUUGCUAAAAAGAACAUUAUUUGGUGUAUUUGGUGUAAUGAAAUGUGUUUAUGCGGUUUAAGGUUAAAAAAAACACAUUAUUUUCCACAUACUGUACAUUAUUGUUUCUCGUCUAUGCCCCGCCUUCUGAAACGCUUCGAUUUUCACAAAGCUCAUCUCUCUGAAAAGCGAGGUGUGCUCUGAUUGGCCAGCUAUCCAGCGCAUUGUGAUUGGCCGAAUGCCUCAAGCGUGAGACGGAAAUUUUAUGCCCCUUAACAUAUUGUAUUAGCCUGUCCGGCCGGAGCGACGAGACAUAAACAUAAAACCCAUUAUAAACGUGAUAUAAACAUGAUUUCUAGUCGUGUUUUAUUUUGGAAGGCCAAACAAAGUAGUUUCGAUUUCUCAAUGAAACAGCAUCACACACGCCUUGAGUGAGAGGCGGGCGGCUUGAGGUGGAUUCUACGAAGGAGCGUACCUUGGUCGAUUUGGCGAUCCAUAGUUCAAAGUUGAUGUAUUUCCUCAG
Cyprinus carpio carpio is the source of this 2938-nucleotide long non-coding RNA. Lineage: Eukaryota; Metazoa; Chordata; Actinopteri; Cypriniformes; Cyprinidae. The record is from Ensembl.